GCAGGGGUGUUUGGUUUUGUGCGAUUAGAAAGUUGGCAACCCUAGUUCUGCGUUGUGGUAAAACUAGAAUUUACUCCAUUAUGGGGCUUUCCUAAUGCCCCGUCAUCACUCCUGACUUCUUGUGUACAAUAAACAACUUAACAUGAUGCUAUUGAAUAGGAGAAAGGGGAGAUGCCAUUCGCUGAGGUUCCCGCAUUCUCAUCCCAACCCCAGCUUGUACUCCAAGUGUGAACUUGACUAAGGCACUAAGGCUGAACUUGUGCUGAAGGUCUCUGCUUAGAAUCUGGAAGUCAGGGUCCUGAAAGUGCUCCCGGUUAAGGACCCUAACAUGUUCUUAUCGAAUCCUUGCUGCAGAAUGAGACGUGGAAGUUAUUGGAAGGCAGUUAAUGCAGAUAGCAGGACCUCAACCCGCCUUGCUGAGGAAAUAUCGUUGCCUAUACUGGAAAGUCAGUAAGGAUCAGCUAGACAUGCAGCAGAAGACUUCCCCUGUGUCAUCGUCAGGUGACCUUUGGGUGGGAUGCUGUAACACACAACACUUCUCUGCGCUGUGUACCCAUGGGACCCCAGUAACAAGCAAGCGCUGAGAGAAUGAGGAAUCAGUCAAUGCUACAUUCAGCUAACGCAGCAACUCAUGGUGUCAGACUCCAUUAGGUGGUCGAGGGACAGCUGCAUAGAACACAUCCCCGGACAUCGGCAAUACCAGGAGGGAUGAGCUGGAGUGCCGAUGAGAAGCGCAGUCAGGAAAGUAACAAAUACUUUCUUCAUGGAUUGUAUUUUCUAAAAGGACAACCAACCUCAUUCUCAAUUACCGAGGGACAAUCUCCACUCGUUGAUAUACUUUGCUUCCCACAACCAGCUCUCUGUACAACUUUUCAUGAGUGAUGUACCCGAGUGUUUGGAUUCUAAUAUCUAAACUGUAUUGUUAAAUCUAUUCACCGAAAUUUGGGUUAUUGCUGAUAAUGUACUCUGU
This is a long non-coding RNA of Chelonia mydas (Green sea turtle), 970 nucleotides long. RefSeq lists it as uncharacterized. NCBI's taxonomy places the organism in Eukaryota, Metazoa, Chordata, Testudines, Cheloniidae. The transcript has 4 exons. The record is from RefSeq and is a predicted model, not a curated record.